GAUGAACGCUGGCGGCGUGCCUAAUACAUGCAAGUCGAGCGAACAGACGAGGAGCUUGCUCCUCUGACGUUAGCGGCGGACGGGUGAGUAACACGUGGAUAACCUACCUAUAAGACUGGGAUAACUUCGGGAAACCGGAGCUAAUACCGGAUAAUAUAUUGAACCGCAUGGUUCAAUAGUGAAAGACGGUUUUGCUGUCACUUAUAGAUGGAUCCGCGCCGCAUUAGCUAGUUGGUAAGGUAACGGCUUACCAAGGCAACGAUGCGUAGCCGACCUGAGAGGGGGAUCGGCCACACUGGAACUGAGACACGGUCCAGACUCCUACGGGAGGCAGCAGUAGGGAAGCUUCCGCAAUGGGCGAAAGCCUGACGGAGCAACGCCGCGUGAGUGAUGAAGGUCUUCGGAUCGUAAAACUCUGUUAUGAGGGAAGAACAAAUGUGUAAGUAACUAUGCACGUCUUGACGGUACCUAAUCAGAAAGCCACGGCUAACUACGU
Molecule: ribosomal RNA, 496 nt
Filed under: uncultured bacterium
Lineage: Bacteria
Description: partial 16S ribosomal RNA
Rfam family: Bacterial small subunit ribosomal RNA
Source: RNAcentral